AUUGAACGCUGGCGGCAGGCCUAACACAUGCAAGUCGAACGAGCGGCGGACGGGUGAGUAAUGUAUGGGGACUGCCCGAUAGAGGGGGAUAACUACUGGAGACGGUAGCUCUUACCGCAUACUAUCGGAUAACCCAUAUGGGAUUAGCUGUUAGGUGAGGUAAUGGCGCACCAAGGCGACGCUCCCUAGCUGGUCUGAGAGGAUGAUCAGCCACACUGGAACUGAGACACGGCCCAGACUCCGACGGAGGCAGCAGUGGGGAAUAUUGCACAAUGGGCGCAAGCCUGAUGCAGCCAUGCCGCGUGUAUGAAGAAGGCCCGCGGGUUGUAAAGUACUUUCAGUCGGGAGGCGUUACCGGCAGAAGAAGCACCGGCUAACUCCGUGCCAGCAGCCGCGGUAAUUC
RNAcentral lists this ribosomal RNA (403 nucleotides) under uncultured bacterium. RNAcentral's name for it is "partial 16S ribosomal RNA". It matches the Rfam family "Bacterial small subunit ribosomal RNA", at positions 30 to 526 of the family's 1533-position model. The record is from RNAcentral.